AGUGAACGCUGGCGGCAGGCCUAACACAUGCAAGUCGAGCGGAUGAAGGGAGCUGGUUCCUGGAUUCAGCGGCGGACGGGGGCGGAAUACCUAUGAAUGGGCCUGGUAGUGGGGGAGGACGUUCGGGAACGGGCGCUAAUACCGCAUACGCCCGGAGCGAGAAAGGGGGGGAUCUUCGGACCUGACGCUAUCAGAUGAGCCUAGGUCGGAUUAGCUAGUUGGUGGGGUAAAGGCCUACCAAGGCGACGAUCCGUAACUGGUCUGAGAGGAUGAUCAGUCACACUGGAACUGAGACACGGUCCAGACUCCUACGGGAGGCAGCAGUAGGGAAUAUUGGACAAUGGGCGAAAGCCUGAUCCAGCCAUGCCGCGUGUGUGAAGAAGGUCUUCGGAUUGUAAAGCACUUUAAGUUGGGAGGAAGGGCAGUAAGUUAAUACCUUGCUGUUUUGACGUUACCAACAGAAUAAGCACCGGCUAACUUCGUG
RNAcentral lists this ribosomal RNA (484 nucleotides) under uncultured bacterium. Its description in RNAcentral is "partial 16S ribosomal RNA". It matches the Rfam family "Bacterial small subunit ribosomal RNA", at positions 29 to 507 of the family's 1533-position model. The record is from RNAcentral.